GAUCAUGGCUCAGGAUGAACGCUAGCUGCAGGCUUAAUACAUGCAAGUCGAGGGGCAUCAUGCUUAUAGCAAUAUAAGUGAUGGCGACCGGCGCACGGGUGAGUAACACGUAUCCAACCUGCCGAUAACUCGGGGAUAGCCUUUCGAAAGAAAGAUUAAUACCCGAUGGCAUAAUAGAACCGCAUGGUUUGAUUAUUAAAGAAUUUCGGUUAUCGAUGGGGAUGCGUUCCAUUAGG
Molecule: ribosomal RNA, 236 nt
Filed under: uncultured bacterium
Lineage: Bacteria
Description: partial 16S ribosomal RNA
Rfam family: Bacterial small subunit ribosomal RNA
Source: RNAcentral